AUUUUCAGCGAUGGAUGUCUUGGCUCGCGCAACGAUGAAGGACGCAGUGAAAUGCGAAACGCAAUGUGAAUUGCAGAAUUCGGGGAAUCAUCAGAUUUCUGAACGCAAAUGGCACCUU
RNAcentral lists this ribosomal RNA (118 nucleotides) under Sarcocystis lutrae. RNAcentral's name for it is "partial 5.8S ribosomal RNA". It matches the Rfam family "5.8S ribosomal RNA", at positions 2 to 119 of the family's 154-position model. From Rfam's summary of the family: 5.8S ribosomal RNA (5.8S rRNA) is a component of the large subunit of the eukaryotic ribosome. It is transcribed by RNA polymerase I as part of the 45S precursor that also contains 18S and 28S rRNA. The record is from RNAcentral. Lineage: Eukaryota; Apicomplexa; Conoidasida; Eucoccidiorida; Sarcocystidae.